UACAGAGGGUGCAAGCGUUAAUCGGAAUUACUGGGCGUAAAGCGCGCGUAGGUGGUUUGUUAAGUUGGAUGUGAAAUCCCCGGGCUCAACCUGGGAACUGCAUUCAAAACUGACUGACUAGAGUAUGGUAGAGGGUGGUGGAAUUUCCUGUGUAGCGGUGAAAUGCGUAGAUAUAGGAAGGAACACCAGUGGCGAAGGCGACCACCUGGACUAAUACUGACACUGAGGUGCGAAAGCGUGGGGAGCAAAC
RNAcentral lists this ribosomal RNA (250 nucleotides) under uncultured bacterium. RNAcentral's name for it is "partial 16S ribosomal RNA". It matches the Rfam family "Bacterial small subunit ribosomal RNA", at positions 524 to 773 of the family's 1533-position model. The record is from RNAcentral. RNAcentral also lists the same sequence under 1 other name.